This is a long non-coding RNA of Mustela lutreola (European mink), 1523 nucleotides long. RefSeq lists it as uncharacterized. NCBI's taxonomy places the organism in Eukaryota, Metazoa, Chordata, Mammalia, Carnivora, Mustelidae. The transcript has 6 exons. The record is from RefSeq and is a predicted model, not a curated record.
UUGGAGUAAUUUUCAUCCAUCCGUACAGGGAUUGCUGGCCAUUCCUGGCAAGUGGUGACCCCGACGUGAUCACCUUGCAACAGACACCAUAUGGAUCCCGCCAAAAAAGUAAAGUUUGAACACAAUUGUUCACUUCCUUUGGUAUUUCUAGAACUCAACUGCAGGAAGACAACUAUGUUUGAGGAUGCCAGUAAAGCAAGUUCCAUGUUUCUGAGAAUCCUUCAUACUUCAAGUUCAAGUUGGGAACCACAUGGCAGCCAUUAUCUAGUUUAAAGAACAGUAGAUCAGCCUCUGGAGACCCAGAUUUCUUUCUGUCUCUGCCUAUAACUCACUGUGUGAACUCAGCUAAGGUGUGGUCAUGUGGCAAAAUUAUGGGCAAUGUGACACAAAUGGAAGAAACGUGUGCUAAGAAAGCUGCUUGCCGUCCGCUGCCCUCCUACCCACUCAUUUUUCCCUCCGGACUGGGAUGUGGGGUAGUCUCAGACCAAGAGAUGGAAGCCACAGAGAAAAGAGGACCAGGGAAGGAUCAACAGUUAUGAGAAAAACGAAGAGGAAAAAACUCUACUCACCACACCUGGAAAUGGAAGAUAUCUCUUUGUUCCUGUGUCCCAUUCCCCACCCCCACCACCAUAUCCUGUGGCUUAUUUGUGUUUUCCUUCUAUCAUCCACAACGGCUUUUUAAUUUUAUAUUGAGAGUAACCUAGGAAGAAGGCACUAAGUGAGAAAUCACUGCAAAAGUUCAAGAAGAGAACACAUAAUAAUGUCUUGGAUAUUAACUAAGAGAUGCUAAGCCUGAAAAAGAAUCUUGUCAAAUUAGGUAGUCAUGUCUACUUUAUCUCAUUGCACUAAAUUUCCUGUCAUGCUCAUUUGCAAUAGUGGUAUUUUUUUCUCUUGAGUCAUAAUGGCCUUACUUUUUUUUAUGAAUGCCUUGCCCAUAUGUGCCCUAUGGUUUCAGAAUACCUUUCAUUUUCAAGUUGUAGGGGGUAUGCCUUUAUGCAGAUCAUUUAUCCUCUGUAAGCCUCAGUAUUCUCCUUUGUAAAAUGACUGGAUAAUCUAUGAAAUCUCCUUUGAGUCCCAAAUUCAACAAUUUGAGUUCCCUUAUAAACAUAUUGAUUAAAGUCUGGUGACAACUGUAGCUACAAUGACAACAGAAUGACGAAGCAUAUUAACAUUAGUGUUAAUACAAUAAUCAGCUGUGUUGUAUUCCAUAUGGCAAUUUAUUUCAACAAUUAAGCCUGACUCCAUCUGUUUUGGCAUACACAAUUUUUUUUUUUUUUCAAAUGGGUUCCUGAACUACAUCUUUGGAAAUAAUUUUAUGUUUUUCAAAUAUUGCUACCAUCAAUAUACGAUGACUGUGUGGAAUCUUUCUGAUGAAAAAAACAAUCAUGGGGGCACCUGGGGGGCUCAGUGGGUUAAGCCGCUGCCUUCGGCUCAGGUCAUGAUCUCAGGGUCCUGGGAUCGAGUUCCGCAUCAGGCUCUCUGCCAGUGGGGAGCCUGCUUCCUCCUCUCUCUCUCUCUGCCUG